Molecule: ribosomal RNA, 880 nt
Filed under: uncultured archaeon
Lineage: Archaea
Description: bacterial SSU rRNA
Rfam family: Archaeal small subunit ribosomal RNA
Source: RNAcentral
UGAUUAAGCCAUGCAAGUACUGCAAAGGAAUUGGCGGGGGAGCAUUAAGCCAUGCGAGUCAUAUGUUCUUCGUGAACAUGGCGUACUGCUCAGUAACACGUGGAUAACCUGCCCUUGGGACCGGGAUAACCCCGGGAAACUGGGGAUAAUACCGGAUAACGCAUAUCUGCUGGAAUGCUUUAUGCGUAAAAUGGAUUUGUCUGCCCAAGGAUGGGUCUGCGGCCUAUCAGGUAGUAGUGGGUGUAAUGUACCUACUAGCCUACGACGGGUACGGGUUGUGAGAGCAAGAGCCCGGAGAUGGAUUCUGAGACAUGAAUCCAGACCCUACGGGGCGCAGCAGGCGCGAAAACUUUACAAUGCGGGAAACCGUGAUAAGGGGACACCGAGUGCCAGCAUCAUAUGUUGGCUGUCCAGAUGUGUAAAAUACAUCUGUUAGCAAGGGCCGGGCAAGACCGGUGCCAGCCGCCGCGGUAACACCGGCGGCCCGAGUGGUGAUCGUGAUUAUUGGGUCUAAAGGGUCCGUAGCCGGUUUGGUCAGUCCUCCGGGAAAUCUGACGGCUCAACCGUUAGGCUUUCGGUGGAUACUGCCAGACUUGGAACCGGGAGAGGUAAGAGGUACUACAGGGGUAGGAGUGAAAUCUUGUAAUCCCUGUGAGACCACCUGUGGCGAAGGCGUCUUACCAGAACGGGUUCGACGGUGAGGGACGAAAGCUGGGGGCACGAACCGGAUUAGAUACCCGGGUAGUCCCAGCCGUAAACGAUGCUCGCUAGGUGUCAGGCAUGGCGCGACCGUGUCUGGUGCCGCAGGGAAGCCGUGAAGCGAGCCACCUGGGAAGUACGGCCGCAAGGCUGAAACUUAAAGGAAUUGGCGGGGGAGCAA